CCCCUUGACGAGAACGAGCUCAUCUCCUACAUCCUCGCUGGCCUGGACAUGGAGUACCAGCCCCUCGUCUCCGCCCUCGACGCCCGCACCUCACCUGUCACCCUUGACGAACUAUUUGCUCAGAUGAGUAACUUCGAUC
Molecule: small nucleolar RNA, 139 nt
Filed under: Triticum aestivum (bread wheat)
Lineage: Eukaryota; Viridiplantae; Streptophyta; Magnoliopsida; Poales; Poaceae
Also listed under: 1 other name
Description: Small nucleolar RNA Z247
Rfam family: Small nucleolar RNA Z247
About the family: Z247 is a member of the C/D class of snoRNA which contain the C (UGAUGA) and D (CUGA) box motifs. Most of the members of the box C/D family function in directing site-specific 2'-O-methylation of substrate RNAs.
Source: Rfam by way of RNAcentral